This 380-nucleotide ribosomal RNA is filed under the name Enterobacter asburiae. RNAcentral's name for it is "bacterial SSU rRNA". It matches the Rfam family "Bacterial small subunit ribosomal RNA", at positions 1153 to 1532 of the family's 1533-position model. Lineage: Bacteria; Pseudomonadati; Pseudomonadota; Gammaproteobacteria; Enterobacterales; Enterobacteriaceae. RNAcentral also lists the same sequence under 2 other names. The record is from RNAcentral.
CAGUGAUAAACUGGAGGAAGGUGGGGAUGACGUCAAGUCAUCAUGGCCCUUACGAGUAGGGCUACACACGUGCUACAAUGGCGCAUACAAAGAGAAGCGACCUCGCGAGAGCAAGCGGACCUCAUAAAGUGCGUCGUAGUCCGGAUUGGAGUCUGCAACUCGACUCCAUGAAGUCGGAAUCGCUAGUAAUCGUAGAUCAGAAUGCUACGGUGAAUACGUUCCCGGGCCUUGUACACACCGCCCGUCACACCAUGGGAGUGGGUUGCAAAAGAAGUAGGUAGCUUAACCUUCGGGAGGGCGCUUACCACUUUGUGAUUCAUGACUGGGGUGAAGUCGUAACAAGGUAACCGUAGGGGAACCUGCGGUUGGAUCACCUCCUU